CCGGUAGCUCAGUUGGAUAGAGCAUCUGGCUACGAACCAGAAGGUCGGGGGUUCGAAUCCUCCCCGGUG
This 69-nucleotide transfer RNA is filed under the name marine eukaryotic metagenome. It matches the Rfam family "tRNA". From Rfam's summary of the family: Transfer RNA (tRNA) molecules are approximately 80 nucleotides in length. The record is from RNAcentral.